UGUAAGAUAUCCUAAUUUUGCUGUUGUCUGAUGCAUAUCAUUUGUACAAAAUCAUGUGAAACAGGCAGGGAAGAAGCAGUGUGUAUUUUGAAGACAUGGAAACAGACCUCAAGAAUAUAAAUGGUUUACCUAAGAUUCACACAUAGUAAAUGGCCUAACGCACCUAAAUCAGUUUAUUUGACUCUGAUGCCUCACUGAUAACCCACCAUUCCACAACUCCUGCUCUUUCCACCCACUACAACACCAGGUUAGGACUGACAUCCUCACCAGCUGUUUGUGCCCUUUCAGAAUCCUGACACUACCUUCCUUCUCAGUCCCACUUAAAGGGAGCAAGAUUUUUUCGAAGGAAGGACUUUUGUGGAUAAUCCUGCUGUCAUAUCUACUAACCCGCCUAAGCAGAUUAGCAGCUUCAACCAGGCUUUUGGAGACUGCACAGACAGAGGUGAAAGAAGAAGGGAUUUCUUGCCUGCCAUCCCCAGUCAGCCAGAUCCACCUCUGCAUGAGUGAGAUGACAGCCUAUUUUAUAGGUAGACACUUCAAGUCAUCUACCAGCAGAGAGUGUUUACAAAGACUGAGGAACACUGAUGUUCCAUGGUGAACAGAGCCACAGGGACCUGCACAGGGACUGAAAACAAGAGGAGGGAGGAGGAGCGCGUGAUCUCAAGGAGCCAAAACCGGGAGAGACAAGUCAAAAAUGGAGGGAAGAUCGAUUCCUUCCUUUUGGGCUGCAUCAGACAUUUUUAAUAAAAUAUGAGAUUUUCU
This is a non-coding RNA of Saimiri boliviensis boliviensis (Bolivian squirrel monkey), 762 nucleotides long. NCBI's taxonomy places the organism in Eukaryota, Metazoa, Chordata, Mammalia, Primates, Cebidae. The record is from RefSeq and is a predicted model, not a curated record.